GCCUCUAAGCAUCAGGUAACACGAAAUCGUACCCCAAACCGACACAGGUGGUCAGGUAGAGAAUACCAAGGCGCUUGAGAGAACUCGGGUGAAGGAACUAGGCAAAAUGGUGCCGUAACUUCGGGAGAAGGCACGCUGACACGUAGGUGAAGUGAUUUACUCAUGGAGCUGAAGUCAGUCGAAGAUACCAGCUGGCUGCAACUGUUUAUUAAAAACACAGCACUGUGCAAACACGAAAGUGGACGUAUACGGUGUGACGCCUGCCCGGUGCCGGAAGGUUAAUUGAUGGGGUCAGCGUAAGCGAAGCUCCUGAUCGAAG
Molecule: ribosomal RNA, 319 nt
Filed under: Salmonella enterica subsp. enterica serovar Typhimurium
Lineage: Bacteria; Pseudomonadati; Pseudomonadota; Gammaproteobacteria; Enterobacterales; Enterobacteriaceae
Description: bacterial LSU rRNA
Rfam family: Bacterial large subunit ribosomal RNA
Source: RNAcentral